ACUGGAAUUUGUUUUGUAUCGUAAGAACGUUACCCUCGCCGAACUCGAAGCCAUGGGGCAGAUGGGUAGUUUGACUGGGGCGGUCUCCUCCUAAAGAGUAACGGAGGAGCACGAAGGUUGGCUAAUCCUGGUCGGACAUCAGGAGGUUAGUGCAAUGGCAUAAGCCAGCUUGACUGCGAGCGUGACGGC
Molecule: ribosomal RNA, 189 nt
Filed under: Salmonella enterica subsp. enterica serovar Kentucky
Lineage: Bacteria; Pseudomonadati; Pseudomonadota; Gammaproteobacteria; Enterobacterales; Enterobacteriaceae
Description: partial 23S ribosomal RNA
Rfam family: Bacterial large subunit ribosomal RNA
Source: RNAcentral